GGAUUGCCUCAGUAACGGCGAGUGAAGCGGCAACAGCUCAAAUUUGAAAUCUGGCCCUUUCAGGGUCCGAGUUGUAAUUUGUAGAGAGUGUUUCGGGUGAGAUCACGGUCUAAGUCCAUUGGAACAUGGCGUCAUAGAGGGUGAGAAUCCCGUAUGUGACUGUGGAUCGAGCCCAUGUGAAGCCUCUUCGACGAGUCGAGUUGUUUGGGAAUGCAGCUCAAAAUGGGUGGUAAAUUUCAUCUAAAGCUAAAUACUGGCUGGAGACCGAUAGCGCACAAGUAGAGUGAUCGAAAGAUGAAAAGCACUUUGGAAAGAGAGUCAAACAGUACGUGAAAUUGUUGAAAGGGAAGCGCUUGCAACCAGACCUGUCCGUAGGUGAUCAGCCGCUGUUCUCAGUGGUGCACUCGCUCUACGAUCAGGCCAGCAUCGGUUCUGGCGGUCGGAUAAAGGCCUUGGGAAUGUAGCUUCCUCCGGGGAGUCUUAUAGCCCUCGGUGCAGUGCGGNCAGCCGGGACCGAGGACCGCGCUUCGGCUAGGAUGCUGGCGUAAUGGUUGUAAGCGACCCGUCUUGAAACACGGACCAAGGAGUCUAACAUCUAUGCGAGUGUUUGGGUGUCAAACCCUUGCGCGGAAUGAAAGUGAACGGAGGUGAGAACCCUUAAGGGCGCAUCAUCGACCGAUCCAGAUGUCUUCGGAUGGAUUUGAGUAUGAGCAUAGCUGUUGGGACCCGAAAGAUGGUGAACUAUGCCUGAAUAGGGUGAAGCCAGAGGAAACUCUGGUGGAGGCUCGCAGCGGUUCUGACGUGCAAAUCGAUCGUCAAAUUUGGGUAUAGGGGCGAAAGACUAAUCGAACCAUCUAGUAGCUGGUUCCUGCCGANGUUUCCCUCAGGAUAGCAGUAACGUUUUCAGUUUUAUGAGGUAAAGCGAAUGAUUAGAGGCCUUGGGGUUGAAACAACCUUAACCUAUUCUCAAACUUUAAAUAUGUAAGAAGUCCUUGUUACUUAGUUGAACGUGGACAUUUGAAUGCACCGUUACUAGUGGGCCAUUUUUGGUAAGCAGAACUGGCGAUGCGGGAUGAACCGAACGCGAGGUUAAGGUGCCGGAAUGUACGCUCAUCAGACACCACAGAAAGGUGACGUACGCGGGAGAGGCCCUUAUCGUUCGGCGUCCUCGGGGGGAAAUGUGGUGUCGUGCCCCUACAGGCUUCGAGUCUUGGGGAACAGUCUCGUUGCAGGCGAGGUCUUUGAUUUGCAGGGGCUCGCUUUGAUUAGCCUACCCUUAGCCGUUUUCAACGGCCCACAGAUCAAGCAAAGGCCGGUGGUCGGGCUAUCGACCGCUUAAGAUAUGAUCGGCUUCCAGGCUGCAAGCUUGGAAAUCAUGCGCAAAAGGUGUUGAUUCAUCUAGACAGCCGGACGGUGGCCAUGGAAGUCGGAAACCGCUAAGGAGUGUGUAACAACUCACCGGCCGAAUGAAUCAGCCCUGAAAAUGGAUGGCGCUCAAGCGUGCUACCCAUACCUCGCCGCCAGGGUAGAAACGAUGCCCUGGCGAGUAGGCAGGCGUGGGGGUCAG
This 1567-nucleotide ribosomal RNA is filed under the name Bryoria simplicior. Its description in RNAcentral is "eukaryotic LSU rRNA". It matches the Rfam family "Eukaryotic large subunit ribosomal RNA", at positions 72 to 1401 of the family's 3401-position model. Lineage: Eukaryota; Fungi; Ascomycota; Lecanoromycetes; Lecanorales; Parmeliaceae. The record is from RNAcentral.